UACGGAGGAGGCAAGCGUUAUCCGGAAUUAUUGGGCGUAAAGCGUCCGCAGGUGGCGAUUCAAGUCUGCGGUCAAAGACUGGGGCUUAACCCUGGAAAGGCCGUGGAAACUGAAUAGCUAGAGUGCAGUAGGGGUAGAGGGAAUUCCCGGUGUAGCGGUGAAAUGCGUAGAGAUCCGGAGGAACCCCAGAGGCGAAGGCGGCGCCCUGGCUCGCACCUGACGCUCAGACACGACAGCAUGGGGAGCGAACGGG
Molecule: ribosomal RNA, 253 nt
Filed under: uncultured bacterium
Lineage: Bacteria
Description: partial 16S ribosomal RNA
Rfam family: Bacterial small subunit ribosomal RNA
Source: RNAcentral